Molecule: signal recognition particle RNA, 97 nt
Filed under: Rhodospirillales bacterium
Lineage: Bacteria; Pseudomonadati; Pseudomonadota; Alphaproteobacteria; Rhodospirillales
Description: signal recognition particle sRNA small type
Rfam family: Bacterial small signal recognition particle RNA
About the family: The signal recognition particle (SRP) is a universally conserved ribonucleoprotein involved in the co-translational targeting of proteins to membranes. Archaeal SRP consists of a 7S RNA and homologues of the eukaryotic SRP19 and SRP54 proteins.
Source: RNAcentral
GAAGGUCGGCCGCGGACGAGCCGCUCGCCAACCCGGUCAGGUCCGGAAGGAAGCAGCCGUAACGAGUUCCGCUCGGGUCGCGUGUCCGGCCUUCCAC